Molecule: long non-coding RNA, 3002 nt
Filed under: Marmota monax (woodchuck)
Lineage: Eukaryota; Metazoa; Chordata; Mammalia; Rodentia; Sciuridae
Source: RNAcentral
CAAAUCUUAUGUUACCUUUUACACUAAAUUUAAAAAGUAAUGAGAGCCUAAUCUACUUAAAGGUUAAAUAUUAUAAAACAUUUUGCCACUUUUCCACAUAAAAAAAUGUUAAGGGCUCUCAGCCUUUCCUUAACUAAUGUUUCAGAUGUAUGUCAUAUUGUGCUGCUAACAUUCAUACAGAGUCAAAAACAAUAUAUGUAAACUUUAUAAAAUGAUAUCUAAAAAGAGAGACAAAGAUCAGCUUUAAAACAAAAACACUUUACCUAAGAUUUGUAAAGAGCCCUGCCUUACCUGAGAUAAGGCUCUGCCUCCCACCUUACAGCAUAUCAAAAUAACUUCAAAGUAGGCCAGAUUUCAGUUAAUUUAAAGUUAUAUUCAAAGAUUAAUUUAUUAAAAAAUUACUGUGAUAUUAUGUUAUGUAAAAAUUAACUGUAAAGUUAUAAAGAUUAAAGUUAAAGCCCAGCAUUCUUACUUUCAAACUGGUAAAAACUGACUUGCUGGAUGUUUAAGGCCAAAUUUAAAUAUUAAAGUUAAAAUAAAGGGGCCAAAGAAACCAAUAUUUGGCUCUUGCCCUCUAAGUCAGCCUGAACCCAAGACAAGGAGAAAAGCUUUGCAACUCUGGGCCACAUAACCUCCCGAUAAGGGAGAUUAAUGAGACCUCUGGAGAACAGAAAGCCAAUGAGUGUACAUGCUGCAAAAGAGGAGGGUCAUUGAAAAGGGGAGACAUGCCUGAAGCUUCCAAGGGAAGCCAUAUGGUCAGCAAGACCUUGACCCAUCCUAAUGCAGAUGACACUAACAGAGCUAAAAUGCUACUCACACGUUCCCCAAGAAUGUCCUCCAAGGAAACUCAGCUGACUCUUACCAAUAGAUAGAAACAAGGUCAGUUUGACCAGCUUGGUCUUAAACACCUAGCAAAAACAGUUAAAACCAAAGCACAGCCAUUCCUGGGCAUUUAAAAAGAAACAACAGUUAUUUUAAUGUAACUUAAAAUGUACCCUAGUGUUAGCAUCCCCCAAAUAAGUAAGACUGGAGGAAACACAGAAAAAUUCUUAGGCAAAAAUGCCUGAUAACUAUCAAUAAAAAAACUGCCAGAAGUUUUUAGUCAGUUCAAGGCCUACAGAUCUUCCUAACUUCCUACGCAGGUAGAUGUAAUCAAUGUUUAUUAAUAUAAUUAUCUAGCCUUAAGUAACAAAAGGAUCUUUACUAAACACAGUGGUCAUGCCAAAAAGGUAUUUUUACAAAAAUCAGAUGACAUUACCUAACAUAACUAAAUGUUGUGUCUACAUUCCUGAUAAUUCUGACAAUGUUAAAGAUUUAUGUUCCCUAAAAAAGUGCCUUAUUAGGCUUUGUUAGGCCUUGUUAUGGGGGCAUUUUCUCAGGUCUUCUGCCUCCUGGUAAACAAUUAUGAAUUUCUGUCAUUUUCAUGAUAUUCAUGGACAGGUUCCAGAUGCUACAACUGCUAUUUUGUAUUACUCUUACUUCAGCACUCAGGUCUUUUUGUUUCUCUCAUAGAAGUGCCCACCCCAGGUGAAUUUACAUCCUGUUCUUCCUGAGCCAGAUUUUUACCAUGGACUCCUUGACCCACUCAGUUUCUAAAAAGGGACUCCAAACUGCUUGCCCACUGCACAUCGCCCCCUUUCAGCUGGAAGUAGUAAGAACGGUCAUCGCCCUCUUCCCUUACUGCAGUUGGAGGUCCCUAAUAUUAGAAAAAAAAAAUUCCAGUCAACAUAGAUGUUCGCCAAUAUGUCUAGCUCAGGAAGAUGUACCUGGGAAACUACUCCCAAGAUUACACUGGGUGAUCUCCCAGAAAGAGACACUUGCUUCUACAACCCAACUUAUAAGUGGGACAACUCUCCCUGUUCACCAAAAAUUGUGCUUCCCGGGUCCCACUUUGAACUCCUUGACUAAAUCUCCAAACUGUCAAUAACUCUGAACUAUGUAACCUACUAUUUUGAUGGAGUAAAAGAAAAAGAACACCUGGACUUAUUAAAAGGCCAGGCCCCACUGAUUUAUCAACAUAGACUGGCUGCCCCCAUUUUAGUUCCCCUCCUGGCUGGCUUUGGAAGUCCCUCAGCCGUCAAAUAGAUAUAGAUUUAGAAAAACUAGAAAGGUCAAUCUCCAAACUAAAGGUUUCACAAGCUCUACAGAAAUAGUCUUACAAAACAGAUGAGGUCUAGAUGGUCUCUUUCUGAAACAAGGAGGACUUUGUAUGGCUCCAGGAGAAACUUGUCUCUAUGCAAACCAUUCUGGGAUAAUAAAGAACAGUUUGGCACUUCUGAAAAACAGGUUAAAUGAAAGAGAUGAAACACUAGGAAAUUCAGGCAAUUGGUUCCAAAACCUUUUCUCAUGGUCCCCUUGGUUGACUACCAUCAUUUCAGCCAUAGUUGGGCCCCUAGUCCUUCUCCUGAUUGGUAUUACUGUAGGACCCUGCCUCUUAAAAUCCCUCCUAAACCAUAUACAAAAGAAUGUAGGUGAGGUCAGACUUAUGGUCUUGCGAGCCCAGUUUAGUCCCUUAGACACAGAAGGUUGGAACAAAAACUGAGACGUAAUGAUGUGCAAGAUUGACAUCAAACCUACUCAAACCAGUGGGGAAUGUGAUAGUAGGAGCAAAUGUGACUCCAUUUUGUUUUAUGACUUCAUCCUGUAAAACAACCAUGCCAAGUAGAAGAGUCAUGACUGGAACAAGAUGUUCUUUUCCUUUUGCUAUAGAAACCUUUAAGAACACGGAACUACCUAAUGGGAUAUUGUUUCUGUAACUAGGGUAACGGGGCUCUGUUUCUGUAACUGGGGUGACUGGGCUAACUGUGAUUGGUUAGGCUUCCCUCCGCUUGACUGCACUGUCCCGCUUCUGUAACCUGGCUGGCUUGCAUUGGCUAGACCCCCUGAACAUCCCUUUUGCGGUUUUCAGGCUUAUAAGGAGUGCCCUUGCAAUUGUUCAGGGCUGAUCAGGGGAACAGCUUUAUGUUCUGGUCAGCCGCCACCGGUGUGCUUCAAUAAAGGCU